The sequence is a ribosomal RNA, 435 nucleotides long. It matches the Rfam family "Bacterial small subunit ribosomal RNA", at positions 341 to 792 of the family's 1533-position model.
ACGGGAGGCAGCAGUCGGGAAUAUUGCACAAUGGGGGAAACCCUGAUGCAGUGACGCCGCGUAUAGGAAGAAGGUUUUCGGAUUGUAAACUAUUGUCUAUAGGGAAGAAAAAUGACGGUACCUAUGGAGGAAGGUCCGGCUAACUACGUGCCAGCAGCCGCGGUAAUACGUAGGGACCGAGCGUUGUCCGGAUUUAUUGGGUGUAAAGGGUGCGUAGACGGAAAUUUAAGUUGGUUGUGAAAUCCCCAGGCUCAACUUGGGAACUGCAACCAAAACUGAAUGUCUUGAGUGUAGGAGAGGAAAGUGGAAUUCCUAGUGUAGCGGUGAAAUGCGUAGAGAUUAGGAGGAACACCAGUGGCGAAGGCGACUUUCUGGACUAUAACUGACGUUGAGGCACGAAAGUGUGGGGAGCAAACAGGAUUAGAUACCCUGGUA